This 450-nucleotide ribosomal RNA is filed under the name uncultured bacterium. RNAcentral describes it as "partial 16S ribosomal RNA". It matches the Rfam family "Bacterial small subunit ribosomal RNA", at positions 354 to 796 of the family's 1533-position model. The record is from RNAcentral.
GUGGGGAAUAUUGGACAAUGGGCGAAAGCCUGAUCCAGCCAUGCCGCGUGUGUGAAGAAGGUCUUCGGAUUGUAAAGCACUUUAAGUUGGGAGGAAGGGCAUUAACCUAAUACGUUAGUGUUUUGACGUUACCAACAGAAUAAGCACCGGCUAACUUCGUGCCAGCAGCCGCGGUAAUACGAAGGGUGCAAGCGUUAAUCGGAAUUACUGGGCGUAAAGCGCGCGUAGGUGGUUCAGCAAGUUGAAGGUGAAAUCCCCGGGCUCAACCUGGGAACUGCCUCCAAAACUACUGAGCUAGAGUACGGUAGAGGGUAGUGGAAUUUCCUGUGUAGCGGUGAAAUGCGUAGAUAUAGGAAGGAACACCAGUGGCGAAGGCGACUACCUGGACUGAUACUGACACUGAGGUGCGAAAGCGUGGGGAGCAAACAGGAUUAGAUACCCCAGUAGUCC